RNAcentral lists this ribosomal RNA (498 nucleotides) under uncultured bacterium. Its description in RNAcentral is "bacterial SSU rRNA". It matches the Rfam family "Bacterial small subunit ribosomal RNA", at positions 28 to 483 of the family's 1533-position model. The record is from RNAcentral.
GAUGAACGCUGGCGGCGUGCCUGAUACAUGCAAGUCGAACGGACUGGCACUGGGUGGAAGCCUCGGAUAGCGCGGAUCGUGAGAAAUCGUGUGAAGCGCUGGAUGGGGUGGAAGCUCUGAAGCUGGUCAGUGGCGAACGGGUGAGUAACACGUGGGUCAUCUGCCCCGAAGUGGGGAACAACUGCUCGAAAGGGCAGCUAAUUCCGCAUAUGGUCCGGCGCAAGCUGGAAGAAAGGGACGUAAGUCUCGCUUUGGGAUGAGCCCGCGGCCGAUUAGCUAGUUGGUAGGGUAAUGGCCUACCAAGGCGACGAUCGGUAGCUGGUCUGAGAGGGCGAUCAGCCACACUGGAACUGAGACACGGUCCAGACUCCUACGGGAGGCAGCAGUAAGGAAUAUUGCACAAUGGGGGAAACCCUGAUGCAGCAACGCCGCGUGAGCGAAGAAGGCCUUCGGGUCGUAAAGCUCUUUUCUGGGGGAAGAGGAAGGACGGUACCUCAG